RNAcentral lists this ribosomal RNA (122 nucleotides) under Chinchilla lanigera (long-tailed chinchilla). The record is from RNAcentral. Lineage: Eukaryota; Metazoa; Chordata; Mammalia; Rodentia; Chinchillidae.
AUCUAAGGUCAUACCACCCUGAAUGUACUCUAUCUUAUCUGAUCUCAGAAGCUAAGCAUGGUAGGGCCUGGUUAGUAUUUGAAUGGGAAAAAGUAAAUAUAAAGAUAUCCCCAGUCUAGAUA